RNAcentral lists this transfer RNA (85 nucleotides) under Felis catus (domestic cat). It matches the Rfam family "tRNA". Rfam says of the family: Transfer RNA (tRNA) molecules are approximately 80 nucleotides in length. Their secondary structure includes four short double-helical elements and three loops (D, anti-codon, and T loops). Further hydrogen bonds mediate the characteristic L-shaped molecular structure. tRNAs have two regions of fundamental functional importance: the anti-codon, which is responsible for specific mRNA codon recognition, and the 3' end, to which the tRNAs corresponding amino acid is attached (by aminoacyl-tRNA synthetases). tRNAs cope with the degeneracy of the genetic code in two manners: having more than one tRNA (with a specific anti-codon) for a particular amino acid; and 'wobble' base-pairing, i.e. permitting non-standard base-pairing at the 3rd anti-codon position. The record is from Rfam by way of RNAcentral. Lineage: Eukaryota; Metazoa; Chordata; Mammalia; Carnivora; Felidae. RNAcentral also lists the same sequence under 1 other name.
GCCUGGGUGGCUUAGUCGGUUAAGCAUCUGCCUUCAGCUCAGGUCAUGAUCUUGUGGUUCGUGAGUUCGAGCCCCACAUCAGGCU